This 497-nucleotide ribosomal RNA is filed under the name uncultured bacterium. Its description in RNAcentral is "bacterial SSU rRNA". It matches the Rfam family "Bacterial small subunit ribosomal RNA", at positions 28 to 507 of the family's 1533-position model. The record is from RNAcentral.
GAUGAACGCUAGCGACAGGCUUAACACAUGCAAGUCGAGGGGCAGCCGGGGGGAGUAGCAAUACUACCCGCCCGGCGACCGGCGCACGGGUGAGUAACACGUAUGAAACCUGCCCGUAGCAGGGGGGAUAAGCGGAAGAAAUUCCGUCUAAUACCGCGUAACAACCCAUGGAGGCAUCUCCGUGGGUUUAAAGGAAGCGAUUCCGGCUACGGAUGGUCAUGCGUCGCAUUAGCUAGUUGGCGGGGUAACGGCCCACCAAGGCGACGAUGCGUAGGGGUUCUGAGAGGAAGGUCCCCCACACUGGUACUGAGACACGGACCAGACUCCUACGGGAGGCAGCAGUGAGGAAUAUUGGUCAAUGGCCGCAGGGCUGAACCAGCCAAGUCGCGUGAGGGAUGACGGUCCUAUGGAUUGUAAACCUCUUUUGUCAGGGAGCAAAGGGCGCCACGUGUGGCGCUUUGCGAGUACCUGAAGAAAAAGCAUCGGCUAACUCCGUG